ACUAUCAGUUUUAAUUUAACUUACACAUGCAAGUCUCCUCGCCCCAGUGAAAAUGCCCUUUACCUUCCCAUUAGAAGCAAAGGAGCUGGUAUCAGGCCCAAAACAGCCCAAGACACCUAGCUUAGCCACGCCUCCAAAGGACUACAGCAGUGAUUAAUAUUAAAUAUUAGCGUAAGCUAAAAUUAGUUAUAAUUAAAAUAGCCGGUUAAUUUCGUGCCAGCCACCGCGGUUAUACGAAAGGCUAAAACUGAUAGUCGUCGGCGUAAAGCGUGAUUAAGGAGACCUAACCACUAAAGUCGAACUCUGAUCCAAUUGUUAUAAGUUCUCAUCAAUAGGAAAUUCAAUAACGAAAGUAACUUUAUUUUUACCUGAUCUCACGAUAGCCAUGACCCAAACUGGGAUUAGAUACCCCACUAUGCUUGGCUUUAAACUUUGAUAAAUUACAACUCAAUCCGCCCGGGUACUACGAGCUUAGCUUAAAACCCAAAGGACUUGGCGGUGCCCUAUUCCAUCUAGAGGAGCCUGUUCUUUAAUCGAUAAUCCACGAUUCACCUUACCAUUUCUUGCCAAACAGCCUAUAUACCGCCGUCGUAAACUUACCCUUUGAAGGAGUCAUAGAAAGUUUAAAGGUACCCGCCAAAACGUCAGGUCCACGUGUAGCAAAUGAAAUGGGAAGAAAUGGGCUACAUUUUCUAUAAUAGACCAAACGGAUAAUCAAUAUGAAAUCUGAUCAUGAAGGAGGAUUUAGUAGUAAAAAGAAAUCAUCAUAUUCUUUUUAACAUGGCCCUGGGGCGCGCACACACCGCCCGUCACCCUCUUCGACUAUAAUCAAUUUUAUACUUAAUAAACUAUUUUAAAACUAGAAGAGGUAAGUCGUAACAUGGUAAGUAUACCGGAAGGUGUACUUGGA
RNAcentral lists this non-coding RNA (910 nucleotides) under Leptobrachium smithi (Smith's litter frog). RNAcentral describes it as "partial 12S rRNA". It matches the Rfam family "Bacterial small subunit ribosomal RNA". Lineage: Eukaryota; Metazoa; Chordata; Amphibia; Anura; Megophryidae. The record is from RNAcentral.